Podarcis lilfordi (Lilford's wall lizard) is the source of this 77-nucleotide non-coding RNA. NCBI's taxonomy places the organism in Eukaryota, Metazoa, Chordata, Lepidosauria, Squamata, Lacertidae. The record is from the annotation of a GenBank genome assembly.
AGUUCUCCAUAGUAGCUCAGUGGCAGAGCAUCUACUUUGCAUGCAAAAGGUCCCAGGUUCAAUCUCGAGGUAGACUG